RNAcentral lists this ribosomal RNA (440 nucleotides) under uncultured bacterium. RNAcentral describes it as "partial 16S ribosomal RNA". It matches the Rfam family "Bacterial small subunit ribosomal RNA", at positions 338 to 795 of the family's 1533-position model. The record is from RNAcentral.
CCUACGGGAGGCAGCAGUGGGGGAUAUUGCACAAUGGGCGAAACCCUGAUGCAGCGACGCCGCGUGUGGGAAGACGGCCCUCUGGAUUGUAAACCACUGUCCCCAGGGACGAAGAUGACGUAACCUGGGGAGGAAGCUCCGCCUAACUACGUGCCAGCAGCCGCGGUAAUACGUAGGGACCGAGCGUUGUCCGGAUUUCCGGGGUGUAACGGGAGCGUAGGCGGGCCUGAAGGCUGGUUGUAAAAUCUACGGGCUCAACCGGGAGCGGCACUCGAAACUGCCGAGCUUGAGUGAAGUAGAGGCAGGCGGAAUUCCUAGUGUAGCGGUGAAAUGCGUAGAUAUUAGGAGGAACACCAGUGGCGAAGGCGGCCUGCUGGGCUUUAACUGACGCUGAGGCUCGAAAGUGUGGGGAGCAAACAGGAUUAGAUACCCGAGUAGUC